CCUACGGGUGGCAGCAGUGGGGAAUAUUGCACAAUGGGCGCAAGCCUGAUGCAGCCAUGCCGCGUGUGUGAAGAAGGCCUUUGGGUUGUAAAGCACUUUCAGCGGGGAGGAAGGCGGUGAGGUUAAUAACCUCAUCGAUUGACGUUACCCGCAGAAGAAGCACCGGCUAACUCCGUGCCAGCAGCCGCGGUAAUACGGAGGGUGCAAGCGUUAAUCGGAAUUACUGGGCGUAAAGCGCACGCAGGCGGUCUGUCAAGUCGGAUGUGAAAUCCCCGGGCUCAACCUGGGAACUGCAUUCGAAACUGGCAGGCUAGAGUCUUGUAGAGGGGGGUAGAAUUCCAGGUGUAGCGGUGAGAUGCGUAGAGAUCUGGAGGAAUACCGGUGGCGAAGGCGGCCCCCUGGACAAAGACUGACGCUCAGGUGCGAAAGCGUGGGGAGCAAACAGGAUUAGAUACCCCGGUAGUC
RNAcentral lists this ribosomal RNA (465 nucleotides) under uncultured Klebsiella sp. Its description in RNAcentral is "bacterial SSU rRNA". It matches the Rfam family "Bacterial small subunit ribosomal RNA", at positions 338 to 795 of the family's 1533-position model. Lineage: Bacteria; Pseudomonadati; Pseudomonadota; Gammaproteobacteria; Enterobacterales; Enterobacteriaceae. The record is from RNAcentral.